Molecule: ribosomal RNA, 807 nt
Filed under: uncultured Chromatiales bacterium
Lineage: Bacteria; Pseudomonadati; Pseudomonadota; Gammaproteobacteria; Chromatiales
Description: bacterial SSU rRNA
Rfam family: Bacterial small subunit ribosomal RNA
Source: RNAcentral
AGAGUUUGAUCAUGGCUCAGAUUGAACGCUGGCGGCAUGCCUAACACAUGCAAGUCGAACGGUAACAGGCCGCAAGGUGCUGACGAGUGGCGGACGGGUGAGUAAUACGUAGGUAUCUGCCCUGUAGUGGGGGAUAACCCGGGGAAACUCGGGCUAAUACCGCAUACGCUCUUUAUAUCGUUGAGAUAGGAGAGGAAAGCGAGGGACCGAAAGGCCUCGCGCUAGAGGAUGAGCCUACGCCCGAUUAGCUAGUUGGUAGGGUAAAAGCCUACCAAGGCGACGAUCGGUAGCUGGUCUGAGAGGAUGGCCAGCCACACUGGGACUGAGACACGGCCCAGACUCCUACGGGAGGCAGCAGUGGGGAAUAUUGGACAAUGGGGGAAACCCUGAUCCAGCGAUGCCGCGUGGGUGAAGAAGGCCUGCGGGUUGUAAAGCCCUUUCAGUGGGGAAGAAAAACGGGGUGUGAACAGCGCUUCGUUUUGACGCUACCCACAGAAGAAGCACCGGCUAACUCUGUGCCAGCAGCCGCGGUAAUACAGAGGGUGCGAGCGUUAAUCGGAAUUACUGGGCGUAAAGCGCGCGUAGGCGGCUUUGCAAGUCGGGUGUGAAAUCCCCAGGCUUAACCUGGGAACUGCAUUCGAGACUGCAUUGCUAGAGUAUGGGAGAGGGAAGUGGAAUUUCCGGUGUAGCGGUGAAAUGCGUAGAUAUCGGAAGGAACAUCAGUGGCGAAAGCGACUUCCUGGACCAAUACUGACGCUCAUGUGCGAAAGCGUGGGGAGCAAACAGGAUUAGAUACCCCCGUAGUCC